AGGUACAAUACGAACUCUCCCGUCUGAAAUGGAAAAAACCCGAUCAGCGCAGGCUGCGUGGGUUGCUAGCUAGCCACACGGACGCAGUUUGGGGCGCCAACCCUUGUCCCCUCACACAGCUUCAGAGUUUUGAUAGCACAAAUGAUAUCAUUAUCCAAGGCCCGCCAGAUCCAGCAAACACUAUUAUCCCGGCUUGUGCUCUGUUACGCCUUUUUGUUCUCCCUUUUGUUGUAGGCUCUCGGUAUUUGCCACAUAGCCUGCGAGGUAUGAAUGACGAGAUAGGAUAUGAAGAUUACUCGCCUUCUACUAGACUCCCGCGUUCUCAUAAGUCUUUCCCCAUGGUUAGAUUCCGCGGUCAUCCCGAUGCUUUUAUUCUGGCGUGCCGCCGGUGGCUUUUUACAGGG
Molecule: small RNA, 404 nt
Filed under: Histoplasma ohiense
Lineage: Eukaryota; Fungi; Ascomycota; Eurotiomycetes; Onygenales; Ajellomycetaceae
Description: hypothetical lncRNA
Source: RNAcentral